AACAUUUUACUGCAGAUUAUGAGAGCAAUAUGGAAGAAUUUUCUAGUGCUUGACAUGAAGAUCCAUUGUUGGCAGAGUUGCACAGAGAAGUUUGGUGGAAUUAAAGUGGCAUCACAUUUUCAUAGGAGUAUGACUGCAAGCACCUAAGGUAAGUUAGAAGCCUUACAACAGUUUACAGCAGAUUAUGAAAGCAACGUGGAAGACUUAUCCAGUGCUUGACAUGAAGAUCCAUUGUUUGGCAGAGUUGCACAGAGAAGUUUGGUGGAAUUAAAGUGGCACCACAUUUUCAUAGAAGUAUGAGUGCAAGCGCCAAAGGUAAGUUAGAUGCCUUACAACAUUUUACAGCAUUUCAGCAGGCAUAGUUACGGCUUAACUAUGUGGUUGCAGCUGCAAGCCUGAUUUUUGUAUCCAAUUUUACUUUCAGCUUUGCAUAGUAAUCGAUAGAAUCUUUGCCUGCUUGAUGAAACAUGCUUUCUAUGACCACUUCAUCAUUGCUGCCACAUUUUAUUAAGCUUCAAGCCUUAAUAAUUAUAACAAUGUUGAGUUUCUUCCUCUCCUUACUGUAUGAGAAACUGUGUUGACAUUAUUCUUUGGUUUCUUAUGUUAAUCAUGCAUAAAUAGAUCAAAGAGGUUGUUGCUUAUAUUUUUUGUUUUUGCUUUGAUUUUUCGAACUUUUGUCAAAGAGGUUGAAAAAAUUUGGAAAAUUGUGGAGUUUUACAACUAGAAUUGUGUUUGACAGUCAAAAGAACUGUGUUGAUCAACCACUCAGAUGUCAUGUGAAAAAACUGCUUACGAAAUGGAUAACUUCUAAUCUGAAAUGGUUCCAUUAUAUUCAUACAUAGUGAAUAAUCUCCAAGGACAAGAUAAGUUCAGGAGUGAAAUCCAAGCCUAAAUUAUUCUGAUUUGAGUAAGAUGUGUCAUAAUUUCUGUACAGAGCAGUUACUAGACCUAUGAGAACUGUAAAUCAAAUUGAAUACAAUUUUUUGAUAAACCAAACAAAUGGUGUAAAAUGAGGCAUUAUAAUUAAUAAAUCUGUGUUUGAUAACCAAACAACUGUAAACCAAACAAAUAAAUCUGUGUUUGAUAACCAAACAACUGUAAACCAAACAAAUAAAUCUGUGUUUGAUAAAGAUGAGGCAUUAUAAUUCUGUUUAUUACCUUUUUCUUUUUCUCUGCAAAAUGAACAAAGGUAUCGAAUUUACAUGGCUUUCCAUGAAUAUACUUGGUCCUCUGCAACAUAGAUACACUUCUGGUCCUAAGAUAGGCCUUGAAAAAUGAUGUAAAACGGGAUAUAAUGCAAGUUCUAAAAUUUGGAUAUACUAACAGUAACAAAUGCUUUAUUACAGUGAUAGUGGAGUAGUACCGGUCCUUCUGGAUAAUGGGUCUUCAUUGAAUCCGAAGGUUCUGAUUUAUGAUUAUUUCAGUCUGCUAGAAUUAUCUUCCUGAAUGUGCUUAUUUUUGUAUUUUUGAAUCUAUUUGUGUAUCUAAUCUGUCAAAUACAUACAUGAAUUUAAUUGUACCUAUAUGCUGGCAGCUUGUACAUUACAAUACAUAGUAGAAAUUGCUCUUAUUUACUAUCUAAUUUUGGGCCCCUGUUUGUGAGUACCUAACUGGUAGAGGAAAGUAGGUGGUGCGAUGCAUCCAUUAUCCUUAUGUUAAACGAUAGACUUCUAGAAAGAUCUCAUCGAAAUGGUUGUGAAAUAAGUAAAGAUAAUAUGUGGGUUGUGAUUAUUCUUAAUGUAACUUAUGAUUGCCUUGUUAGUCUAAGUUUGUGGCGUCGACAAUGAUUGUGUUUGGUCUAGUUGUCUGGAUCUGACCAUUCUAGUAAGUUUGGUUUGAAAAAUUUUAACCUAGUAAAGUCUGACCAUUCUUGUAAGGUUGGUUUGAAAAUCUUCAACCUCACAAAGCGACUCUCAUAUUCCAAAUCUAAGUGGAAUUGGGUCCAAUAUUUCUUGUUUGAUUGAGCUCAAGUUACAGCUUUAGUAGACUAAACAGUGCUUCGUAUCUAUUAUGAUCACACAAUACAAUUUAACCCAGACCGUUAUAAAAUGGGAGGUAUAUAUUGGUUUGAGCGUGAACUGGUACACAGAUUGGCCCCCUAUUAGCAGUCUGUCCUUACCUAUUAUAGAAAGAAAAAAGCCUAUUUAAUGCUGGUUUGGGGCUCGUGCUUGCGAGCCCAUUGCAUCGUACUCGUAGAGCCUGCAAGCCAUAAGUCAUUCAUCAAUAAUAUUUUUCGAGAUAUUUUGAUUCCUUUAGCCUUCUUUCUCUUUUAUUUGUGUUUUUCGCUUUGCACUUUCCUAGCAAAAUAUACUACAAACUGAUAUUUAGCUCCAUUUUUUGUCAUUUUAAAACCAACAAAUUAUCUUAUUAAGACUGUAGGUUUUUCAAGAGAGCAUACAUUAUUGGAGUUGAAUGUAAAGGUACUGAAGAUGAUACCUCACUAUUGAUGAAUCACUUGAAGAUUGCACAGUUAGCAGAUGCAACUGGACUUUCUGUUGGUGGCUCUGCUUAUCUAAAGUAUGUUUCUUUUAUCCCCAUUGAACAUGAUGCAGUGAUUAGUUCUAUGGUUCCUCUAAAUGUGCAUUAAUAUAGGUAUGGAAUCUAGGAGUAUAUUAUUACAUUGGCU
RNAcentral lists this long non-coding RNA (2626 nucleotides) under Musa acuminata (dwarf banana). RNAcentral describes it as "long non-coding RNA (MACU_LNC005659)". The record is from RNAcentral. Lineage: Eukaryota; Viridiplantae; Streptophyta; Magnoliopsida; Zingiberales; Musaceae.